GACUGGUCUAAAGGUAGUCAGUUAUCUCAAUUGAUUAUUCAUAAUCAGUUACAGAUUGAUGUUCUUGUUCUACUCUGCCCAUUCCCCGUCUCACUACUGCACUUGACUAGUCUAAA
RNAcentral lists this Y RNA (116 nucleotides) under Dasypus novemcinctus (nine-banded armadillo). RNAcentral's name for it is "Y RNA (ENSDNOG00000026900.1)". It matches the Rfam family "Y RNA". From Rfam's summary of the family: Y RNAs are components of the Ro ribonucleoprotein particle (Ro RNP), in association with Ro60 and La proteins. The Y RNAs and Ro60 and La proteins are well conserved, but the function of the Ro RNP is not known. In humans the RNA component can be one of four small RNAs -- hY1, hY3, hY4 and hY5. Lineage: Eukaryota; Metazoa; Chordata; Mammalia; Cingulata; Dasypodidae. The record is from RNAcentral.